Molecule: ribosomal RNA, 253 nt
Filed under: uncultured bacterium
Lineage: Bacteria
Description: partial 16S ribosomal RNA
Rfam family: Bacterial small subunit ribosomal RNA
Source: RNAcentral
UACGUAGGGUGCAAGCGUUGUCCGGAAUUAUUGGGCGUAAAGAGCUCGUAGGCGGUUUGUCGCGUCUGCUGUGAAAACUCGGGGCUUAACCCCGGGCCUGCAGUGGGUACGGGCAGACUAGAGUGCGGUAGGGGAGACUGGAAUUCCUGGCGUAGCGGUGAAAUGCGCAGAUAUCAGGAGGAACACCGGUGGCGAAGGCGGGUCUCUGGGCCGUAACUGACGCUGAGGAGCGAAAGCAUGGGGAGCGAACAGG